Molecule: small RNA, 1873 nt
Filed under: Pan troglodytes (chimpanzee)
Lineage: Eukaryota; Metazoa; Chordata; Mammalia; Primates; Hominidae
Description: processed transcript
Source: RNAcentral
GCCAGAGAUGCCUGCCCACAGCCUGGUGAUGAGCAGCCCGGCCCUCCCGGCCUUCCUGCUCUGCAGCACGCUGCUGGUCAUCAAGAUGUACGUGGUGGCCAUCAUCACGGGCCAAGUGAGGCUGCGGAAGAAGAGUCUGGCUCUGUUGCCCAGGCUGGUGUGCAGUGGCAAGAUCACGGCUCACUGUAGCCUCGACCUCCCGGGCUCAAGCAAUCCUCCUGCCUCAGCCGCCCUGCCAAGUAGCUGGGACCACAGGCCUUUGCCAACCCCGAGGAUGCCCUGAGACACGGAGGCCCCCAGUAUUGCAGGAGCGACCCUGACGUGGAACGCUGCCUCAGGGCCCACCGGAACGACAUGGAGACCAUCUACCCCUUCCUUUUCCUGGGCUUCGUCUACUCCUUUCUGGGUCCUAACCCUUUUGUCGCCUGGAUGCACUUCCUGGUCUUCCUCCUGGGCCGUGUGGUACACACCGUGGCCUACCUGGGGAAGCUGCGGGCACCCAUCCGCUCCGUGACCUACACCCUGGCCCAGCUCCCCUGCGCCUCCAUGGCUCUGCAGAUCCUCUGGGAAGCGGCCUGCCACCUGUGACCAGCAGCUGAUGCCUCCUUGGCCACCAGACCAUGGGCCAAGAGCCGCCGUGGCUAUACCUGGGGACUUGAUGUUCCUUCCAGAUUGUGGUGGGCCCUGAGUCCUGGUUUCCUGGCAGCCUGCUGCGCGUGUGGGUCUCUGGGCACAGUGGGCCUGUGUGUGUGCCCGUGUGUGUGUGUAUGUGUAUGUGUGUGUGUAUGUUUCUUAGCCCCUUGGAUUCCUGCACGAAGUGGCUGAUGGGAACCAUUUCAAGACAGAUUGUGAAGACUGAUAGAAAAUCCUUCAGCUAAAGUAACAGAGCAUCAAAAACAUCACUCCCUCUCCCUCCCUAACAGUGAAAAGAGAGAAGGGAGACUCUAUUUAAGAUUCCCAAACCUAAUGAUCAUCUGAAUCCCGGGCUAAGAAUGCAGACUUUUCAGACUCACCCCAGAAAUUCUGGCCCAGCCAAUCUAGAGGCAAGCCUGGCCAUCUGUAUUUUUUUUUUUCCAAGACAGAGUCUUGCUCUGUUGCCCAAGCUGGAGUGAAGUGGUACAAUCUGGCUCACUGCAGCCUCCGCCUCCCGGGUUCAAGCGAUUCUUCCGCCUCAGCCUCCUGAGUAGCUGGGAUUACAGGCGCGUAUCACCAUACCCGGCUAAUUUUUGUAUUUUUAGUAGAGACAGGGGUUCACCAUGUUGCCCAGGAGGGUCUCGAACUCCUGGCCUCAAGUGAUCCACCGGCCUCGGCCUCCCAAAGUGCUGGGAUGACAGGCAUGAAUCACUGUGCUCAGCCACCAUCUGGAGUUUUAAAAGGCUCCCAUGUGAGUCCCUGUGAUGGCCAGGCCAGGGGACCCCUGCCAGUUCUCUGUGGAAGCAAGGCUGGGGUCUUGGGUUCCUGUAUGGUGGAAGCUGGGUGAGCCAAGGACAGGGCUGGCUCCUCUGCCCCCGCUGACGCUUCCCUUGCCAUUGGCUUUGGAUGUCUUUGCUGCAGUCUUCUCUCUGGCUCAGGUGUGGGUGGGAGGGGCCCACAGGAAGCUCAGCCUUCUCCCAAGGUUUGAGUCCCUCCAAAGGGCUGUGGGUGGAGGACCGGGAGCUUUGGGUGACCAGCCACUCAAAGGAACUUUCUGGUCCCUUCAGUAUCUUCAAGGUUUGGAAACUGCAAAUGUCCCCUUGAUGGGGAAUCCGUGUGUGUGUGUGUGUGUGUGUGUGUGUGUGUGUGUGUGUGUGUGUUUUCUCCUAGACCCGUGACCUGAGAUGUGUGAUUUUUAGUCAUUAAAUGGAAGUGUCUGCCAGCUGGGCCCAGCACCUCG